GGCAGCUGGCUCAGGAAAUUUUAACCACAGCAAAUAUUUUUAACUUUACUAUUUCAUACUCAUCUGUAUUUUUUCUGUUUCUCCUGCGUCUGGAUCUUUUUCACCGACAUGAAGGUGAACUUGAUGCAGUUUGGACCCAUACCCGAUUCACUCAUUGGUUUUAGGUGGUGAAAAUCGAACUGGAACUGUUGCAAUUGUUGAGGACAAUCCUUAGACCUUUACUGUUCAGCUGAAGACUCUGGGGCUUGAUGGUCAUUGCUAAGACAGUUGUACUGGAAGUUCUCUUCCCACAGCACUGGCUCACCACUGGAAACCGAGGAGACCUAAUUUUAUUAUUAAUUCAUACUGGAAUAUAUCAAAAUCUAUUUUGUGAAAUUCCUUCUCUAGGAGAUGUUUAUAGGAUGAUUCAUUUGUGCUAAUUAAAAGUGAAUUUUUAAUGCUUUUUAGGGGCAAAAAUCCAUAUAUUUAAGAUAACUGUGUUACAUGAGGAAUAGGGUUGCCACCUUUUCUGGAAAAAAAUACCGGCCUUCCUGUAUUCUUGCCGUUUUUUUCCUAUUGAUAAC
Xenopus laevis (African clawed frog) is the source of this 563-nucleotide long non-coding RNA. RefSeq lists it as uncharacterized. The transcript has 3 exons. NCBI's taxonomy places the organism in Eukaryota, Metazoa, Chordata, Amphibia, Anura, Pipidae. The record is from RefSeq and is a predicted model, not a curated record.